GACGAACGCUGGCGGCGGGCUUAACACAUGCAAGUCGAACGGUGAAGCGCCUUCCUCUUUGGUUGGUGGGGAAGAGGGGGGGACGGGUGGGUAACACGUGAGUAACCUGCCCCCUUCUUCUGGAUAACCGCAUGAAAGUGUGGCUAAUACGGGAUAUUCCGGGUCUGUCGCAUGGUGGGUUUGGGGAAGAUUUUGUUUCGGUGGGGGCUGGGCUCGGGGCCUAUCAUGUUGUUGGGGGGGUGAUGGCCUACCAAGGCGGUGACGGGUAGCCGGCCUGAGAGGGUGGACGGUCACACUGGGACUGAGACACGGCCCAGACUCCUACGGGAGGCAGCAGUGGGGAAUAUUGCGCAAUGGGCGCAAGCCUGAUGCAGCGACGCCGCGUGAGGGAUGGAGGCCUGCGGGUUGUGAACCUCUUUCGCCAGUGAAGCAGGCCUGCCUCGUUUGUGGGUGGGUUGACGGUAGCUGGAUAAGAAGCGCCGGCUAACUACGUG
This 494-nucleotide ribosomal RNA is filed under the name uncultured bacterium. RNAcentral's name for it is "partial 16S ribosomal RNA". It matches the Rfam family "Bacterial small subunit ribosomal RNA", at positions 28 to 507 of the family's 1533-position model. The record is from RNAcentral.